RNAcentral lists this ribosomal RNA (416 nucleotides) under Klebsiella pneumoniae. RNAcentral's name for it is "bacterial SSU rRNA". It matches the Rfam family "Bacterial small subunit ribosomal RNA", at positions 563 to 978 of the family's 1533-position model. Lineage: Bacteria; Pseudomonadati; Pseudomonadota; Gammaproteobacteria; Enterobacterales; Enterobacteriaceae. The record is from RNAcentral.
AAGCGCACGCAGGCGGUCUGUCAAGUCGGAUGUGAAAUCCCCGGGCUCAACCUGGGAACUGCAUUCGAAACUGGCAGGCUAGAGUCUUGUAGAGGGGGGGAGAAUUCCAGGUGUAGCGGUGAAAUGCGGAGAGAUCUGGGGGAAUACCGGUGGCGAAGGCGGCCCCCUGGACAAAGACUGACGCUCAGGUGCGAAAGCGUGGGGAGCAAACAGGCUUAGAUACCCUGGUAGUCCAUGCCGUAAACGAUGUCGAUUUGGAGGUUGUGCCCUUGAGUCGUGGCUUCCGGAGCUAACGCGUUAAAUCGACCGCCUGGGGAGGACGGCCGCAAGGUUAAAACUCAGAUGAAUUGACGGGGGCCCGCUCAAGCGGUGUAGCAUGUGGUUUAAUUCGAUGCAAAGCGAAUAGACUUACCUGG